This 423-nucleotide ribosomal RNA is filed under the name Cytherissa golyschkinae. RNAcentral describes it as "partial small subunit ribosomal RNA". Lineage: Eukaryota; Metazoa; Arthropoda; Ostracoda; Podocopida; Cytherideidae. The record is from RNAcentral.
UUUAAUAGUCGAACAGACUAACUUAACUAGCUGCUACACUAGCCAGCACCUUUAAUUCAACAUCGAGGUCACAAGAUCUUUUAUCAAUUAGGCCUCUCUAAAAGCAUUGUGCUGUUAUCCCUGAGGUAACUGCGCUUCAACUUGUUUAAGAUCCUCACCUUACUACAGCAUCGGUUUGUAAGCUAGAUUAAUUGACUUACCGCCCCAGUAUGGUGCAACAAUAGCCAAAGACUCGUAUUGCUUGAGUCGGAGACAUCCCACAACCAGCUCUGCAGGGUCUUAUCUUCCCAUUGGUUGAGAUUGAAGUUUUAAUCAAGCCCUUAAGUUAUACCGUUACAGGUUUACAAGUCGUCUUUCAUGAACCCCUUCAUUCGAGACCCCAAUUAAGAGCCAAAUUAUUAUGCUACCUUUGCACAGUUAGGG